This 563-nucleotide ribosomal RNA is filed under the name uncultured organism. RNAcentral's name for it is "bacterial SSU rRNA". It matches the Rfam family "Bacterial small subunit ribosomal RNA", at positions 338 to 893 of the family's 1533-position model. The record is from RNAcentral.
CCUACCGGAGGCAGCAGUUAAGAAUCUUGCGCAAUGGACGAAAGUCUGACGCAGCGACGCCGCGUGAAGGAUGAAGGCUUUCGGGUUGUAAACUUCGGUAGACUGGAAAGAAAAAGUACGUUCGUUGAGGGCGUGCAUUGACGAGUACCAGUCUGAAGCCCCGGCUAAUUACGUGCCAGCAGCCGCGGUAAUACGUAUGGGGCAAGCGUUGUUCGGAAUUAUUGGGCGUAAAGGGCUCGCAGGUGGUUUGUUAAGUUGGUGGUUUAAUCUCUGGGCUCAACCCAGAGUCAGCCUCCAAAACUGGCGAACUUGAGUACGAUAGGGGAUAGCGGAAUUCUCGGUGUAGCGGUGGAAUGCGUAGAUAUCGAGAGGAACACCAAUGGCGAAGGCAGCUAUCUGGAUCGUAACUGACACUCAUGAGCGAAAGUGCGGGGAGCAAACAGGAUUAGAUACCCUGGUAGUCCGCACCGUAAACGUUGUAUACUAGUUGUUGGCGGUUUCAACGCCAUCAGUGACGUCGCUAACGCAUUAAGUAUACCGCCUGGGGAGUAUGCUCAGCAAGG